AGAUUGAACGCUGGCGGCAGGCCUAACACAUGCAAGUCGAGCGGGUAGAGGAGGUGGCUUGCAUCUCUUGAGAGCGGCGGACGGGUGAGUAAUGCCUAGGAAUCUGCCUAGUGGUGGGGGAUAACGUUCGGAAACGGACGCUAAUACCGCAUACGUCCUACGGGAGAAAGCGGGGGACCUUCGGGCCUCGCGCCAUUAGAUGAGCCUAGGUCGGAUUAGCUAGUUGGUGAGGUAAUGGCUCACCAAGGCGACGAUCCGUAACUGGUCUGAGAGGAUGAUCAGUCACACUGGAACUGAGACACGGUCCAGACUCCUACGGGAGCAGCGAGUGGGGAAUAUGGACAAGUGGGACAAAGCUGAUCCAGCCAUGCCGCGUGUGACGAAGUAAGGUCGUUCGUAUUAGUAAA
Molecule: ribosomal RNA, 407 nt
Filed under: uncultured soil bacterium
Lineage: Bacteria
Description: bacterial SSU rRNA
Rfam family: Bacterial small subunit ribosomal RNA
Source: RNAcentral